GAUUUCUGAGCUUGCCUAUUCGAUUUUUGAAUUGGCAUUUUCGAACUCUGAGCUCACCUCUUCGAUCUCUGAAAUCCCGUCGAGUGCUGAUUUUAUAGAGGCACGCAGUUCGUUUCAAAGCACACUUGAAUUUUAGCUUUGUAGAAACUCCCUUCUUGCACUUCAUAGAUCUUGAUUCGUCCGACCUCUUCUUUCUUCAACACCCUU
RNAcentral lists this long non-coding RNA (207 nucleotides) under Malus domestica (apple). Its description in RNAcentral is "long non-coding RNA (MDOM_LNC007141)". Lineage: Eukaryota; Viridiplantae; Streptophyta; Magnoliopsida; Rosales; Rosaceae. The record is from RNAcentral.